Molecule: transfer RNA, 96 nt
Filed under: Hydnum rufescens UP504
Lineage: Eukaryota; Fungi; Basidiomycota; Agaricomycetes; Cantharellales; Hydnaceae
Rfam family: tRNA
About the family: Transfer RNA (tRNA) molecules are approximately 80 nucleotides in length. Their secondary structure includes four short double-helical elements and three loops (D, anti-codon, and T loops).
Source: Rfam by way of RNAcentral
GGUGAGAUGGCCGAGUUGGUCUAAGGCGCCAGAUUAAGGCUUCCGUCACAUUCUGGUCUCAUUCUUGGGGCGUGAGUUCGAAUCUCACUCUCAUCA